AGAAUAAGGGAUGUGCUAAGCAAAGGCAAUAGCGAGGCCCAGGCCCUCAAGUGGAAAUGAGCUUGACUUGUUCUAGCAGCAGCAGCAAACAGAUUGGUGUGGCCGGAGCAUGAGUCCAACUUAGGUCUAGAAAUCAGCAUUCACUGUCCAUGUCACACCUUUCAGCCCAAUGGAGAUAUCCUGGAAAACAUUCACGAGGUGAUGGAAAUCAAAUUCAAAGGCGUGGACAAUGAGGAUGACCAUGGCCGUGGAGAUCUGGGGCGCCUCAAGAAGCAGAAGGAUCACCACAACCCUCAUCUAAUCCUCAUGAUGAUUCCCCCACACCGGCUCGACAACCCGGGCCAAGGGGGUCAGAGGAAGAAGCGGGCCUUGGACACCAAUUACUGCUUCCGCAACUUGGAGGAGAACUGCUGUGUGCGCCCCCUCUACAUUGACUUCCGACAGGAUCUGGGCUGGAAGUGGGUCCAUGAACCUAAGGGCUACUAUGCCAACUUCUGCUCAGGCCCUUGCCCAUACCUCCGCAGUGCAGACACAACCCACAGCACGGUAUGGAGGAGGCUCAUGCCAUCUGAGGCACUGGGGCUGACCGACCGGGCCACUUGUUAAAA
This 608-nucleotide small RNA is filed under the name Pongo abelii (Sumatran orangutan). RNAcentral's name for it is "processed transcript". The record is from RNAcentral. Lineage: Eukaryota; Metazoa; Chordata; Mammalia; Primates; Hominidae.